UAGGGAAUCUUCGGCAAUGGGGGGAACCCUGACCGAGCAACGCCGCGUGAGUGAAGAAGGUUUUCGGAUCGUCAAGCUCUGUUGUUAAGGAAGAACGAGUGUGAGAAUGGAAAGUUCAUACUGUGACGGUACUUAACCAGAAAGGGACGGCUAACUCCUUGCCAGCAGCCGCGGUAAUACGUAGGUCCCGAGCGUUGUCCGGAUUUAUUGGGCGUAAAGCGAGCGCAGGCAGUUAGAUACGUCUGAAGUUAAAGGCAGUGGCUCAACCAUUGUAAGCUUUGGAGACUGUAUAGCUGGAGUGCAGAAGGAGAGAGUGGAAUUCCAUGUGUAGCGGUGAAAUGCGUAGAUAUAUGGAGGAACACCAGUGGCGAAAGCGACUCUCUGGUCUGUAACUGAAGCUGAGGUUCGAAAGCGUGGGUAGCAAACAGG
Molecule: ribosomal RNA, 429 nt
Filed under: Bacteroidota bacterium
Lineage: Bacteria; Pseudomonadati; Bacteroidota
Description: Bacteroidetes bacterium partial 16S ribosomal RNA
Rfam family: Bacterial small subunit ribosomal RNA
Source: RNAcentral